RNAcentral lists this ribosomal RNA (2900 nucleotides) under Klebsiella pneumoniae. RNAcentral's name for it is "23S ribosomal RNA". It matches the Rfam family "Bacterial large subunit ribosomal RNA". The record is from RNAcentral. Lineage: Bacteria; Pseudomonadati; Pseudomonadota; Gammaproteobacteria; Enterobacterales; Enterobacteriaceae.
UUAAGCGACUAAGCGUACACGGUGGAUGCCCUGGCAGUCAGAGGCGAUGAAGGACGUGCUAAUCUGCGAAAAGCGUCGGUAAGGUGAUAUGAACCGUUACAGCCGGCGAUGUCCGAAUGGGGAAACCCAGUGUGAUUCGUCACACUAUCGUUAACUGAAUACAUAGGUUAACGAGGCGAACCGGGGGAACUGAAACAUCUAAGUACCCCGAGGAAAAGAAAUCAACCGAGAUUCCCCCAGUAGCGGCGAGCGAACGGGGAGCAGCCCAGAGUCUGAAUCAGCUUGUGUGUUAGUGGAACGGUCUGGAAAGUCCGACGGUACAGGGUGAUAGUCCCGUACACCAAAAUGCACAGGUUGUGAACUCGAAGAGUAGGGCGGGACACGUGGUAUCCUGUCUGAAUAUGGGGGGACCAUCCUCCAAGGCUAAAUACUCCUGACUGACCGAUAGUGAACCAGUACCGUGAGGGAAAGGCGAAAAGAACCCCGGCGAGGGGAGUGAAAAAGAACCUGAAACCGUGUACGUACAAGCAGUGGGAGCACCUUCGGGUGUGACUGCGUACCUUUUGUAUAAUGGGUCAGCGACUUAUAUUCUGUAGCAAGGUUAACCGUAUAGGGGAGCCGCAGGGAAACCGAGUCUUAACUGGGCGUUAAGUUGCAGGGUAUAGACCCGAAACCCGGUGAUCUAGCCAUGGGCAGGUUGAAGGUUGGGUAACACUAACUGGAGGACCGAACCGACUAAUGUUGAAAAAUUAGCGGAUGACUUGUGGCUGGGGGUGAAAGGCCAAUCAAACCGGGAGAUAGCUGGUUCUCCCCGAAAGCUAUUUAGGUAGCGCCUCGUGAAUUCAUCUUCGGGGGUAGAGCACUGUUUCGGCUAGGGGGUCAUCCCGACUUACCAACCCGAUGCAAACUACGAAUACCGAAGAAUGUUAUCACGGGAGACACACGGCGGGUGCUAACGUCCGUCGUGAAGAGGGAAACAACCCAGACCGCCAGCUAAGGUCCCAAAGUCAUGGUUAAGUGGGAAACGAUGUGGGAAGGCACAGACAGCCAGGAUGUUGGCUUAGAAGCAGCCAUCAUUUAAAGAAAGCGUAAUAGCUCACUGGUCGAGUCGGCCUGCGCGGAAGAUGUAACGGGGCUAAACCAUGCACCGAAGCUGCGGCAGCGACACUAUGUGUUGUUGGGUAGGGGAGCGUUCUGUAAGCCUGCGAAGGUGUGCUGUGAGGCAUGCUGGAGGUAUCAGAAGUGCGAAUGCUGACAUAAGUAACGAUAAAGCGGGUGAAAAGCCCGCUCGCCGGAAGACCAAGGGUUCCUGUCCAACGUUAAUCGGGGCAGGGUGAGUCGACCCCUAAGGCGAGGCCGAAAGGCGUAGUCGAUGGGAAACAGGUUAAUAUUCCUGUACUUGGUGUUACUGCGAAGGGGGGACGGAGAAGGCUAUGUUAGCCGGGCGACGGUUGUCCCGGUUUAAGCAUGUAGGCUGGUUAUCCAGGCAAAUCCGGAUAAUCAAGGCUGAGGUGUGAUGACGAGGCACUACGGUGCUGAAGUAACAAAUGCCCUGCUUCCAGGAAAAGCCUCUAAGCAUCAGGUAACAUUGAAUCGUACCCCAAACCGACACAGGUGGUCAGGUAGAGAAUACCAAGGCGCUUGAGAGAACUCGGGUGAAGGAACUAGGCAAAAUGGUGCCGUAACUUCGGGAGAAGGCACGCUGGUGUGUAGGUGAAGUCCCUGCGGAUGGAGCUGAGACCAGUCGAAGAUACCAGCUGGCUGCAACUGUUUAUUAAAAACACAGCACUGUGCAAACACGAAAGUGGACGUAUACGGUGUGACGCCUGCCCGGUGCCGGAAGGUUAAUUGAUGGGGUUAUCCGUAAGGAGAAGCUCUUGAUCGAAGCCCCGGUAAACGGCGGCCGUAACUAUAACGGUCCUAAGGUAGCGAAAUUCCUUGUCGGGUAAGUUCCGACCUGCACGAAUGGCGUAAUGAUGGCCAGGCUGUCUCCACCCGAGACUCAGUGAAAUUGAACUCGCUGUGAAGAUGCAGUGUACCCGCGGCAAGACGGAAAGACCCCGUGAACCUUUACUAUAGCUUGACACUGAACAUUGAGCCUUGAUGUGUAGGAUAGGUGGGAGGCUUUGAAGCGUGGACGCCAGUCUGCGUGGAGCCAACCUUGAAAUACCACCCUUUAAUGUUUGAUGUUCUAACGUUGGCCCCUGACCGGGGUUGCGGACAGUGUCUGGUGGGUAGUUUGACUGGGGCGGUCUCCUCCUAAAGCGUAACGGAGGAGCACGAAGGUUAGCUAAUCCUGGUCGGACAUCAGGAGGUUAGUGCAAUGGCAUAAGCUAGCUUGACUGCGAGCGUGACGGCGCGAGCAGGUGCGAAAGCAGGUCAUAGUGAUCCGGUGGUUCUGAAUGGAAGGGCCAUCGCUCAACGGAUAAAAGGUACUCCGGGGAUAACAGGCUGAUACCGCCCAAGAGUUCAUAUCGACGGCGGUGUUUGGCACCUCGAUGUCGGCUCAUCACAUCCUGGGGCUGAAGUAGGUCCCAAGGGUAUGGCUGUUCGCCAUUUAAAGUGGUACGCGAGCUGGGUUUAGAACGUCGUGAGACAGUUCGGUCCCUAUCUGCCGUGGGCGCUGGAGAAUUGAGGGGGGCUGCUCCUAGUACGAGAGGACCGGAGUGGACGCAUCACUGGUGUUCGGGUUGUCAUGCCAAUGGCACUGCCCGGUAGCUAAAUGCGGAAGAGAUAAGUGCUGAAAGCAUCUAAGCACGAAACUUGCCCCGAGAUGAGUUCUCCCUGAGACUUUAAGUCUCCUGAAGGAACGUUGAAGACGACGACGUUGAUAGGCCGGGUGUGUAAGCGCAGCGAUGCGUUGAGCUAACCGGUACUAAUGAACCGUGAGGCUUAACCUU